CAUGCAAGUCGAACGGAAACCUUCGGGUUUUAGUGGCGAACGGGUGAGUAACACGUAAGCAACCUGCCCUUAAGACGAGGAUAACAAUUGGAAACAAUUGCUAAGACUGGAUAGGAAAAGUAAAGGCAUCUUUGCUUUUUUAAAAGAUCUUCUUUGAAGGUAUGCUUAAGGAGGGGCUUGCGACACAUUAGUUAGUUGGCAGGGUAAAGGCCUACCAAGACUAUGAUGUGUAGCUGGACUGAGAGGUUGAACAGCCACAUUGGGACUGAGACACGGCCCAAACUCCUACGGGAGGCAGCAGUAGGGAAUUUUCGGCAAUGGAGGAAACUCUGACCGAGCAACGCCGCGUGAACGAUGAAGUACCUCGGUAUGUAAAGUUCUUUUAUUAAGGAAGAAAAAAGAGUGGAAAAACUCCCUUGACGGUACUUAAUGAGUAAGCCCCGGCUAAUUAUGUGCCAGCAGCCGCGGUAAUACAUAAGGGGCGAGCGUUAUCCGGAAUUAUUGGGCGUAAAGGGUGCGUAGGCGGUUUAAUAAGUCUAUAGUUUAAUUUCAGUGCUUAACGCUGUUGUGCUAUAGAAACUGUUUUACUAGAGUGAGAUAGAGGCAAGCGGAAUUCCAUGUGUAGCGGUAAAAUGCGUAAAUAUAUGGAGGAACACCAGAGGCGUAGGCGGCUUGCUGGGUCUUUACUGACGUUGAGGCACGAAAGCGUGGGGAGCAAACAGGAUUAGAUACCCUGGUAGUCCACGCCGUAAACGAUGAGUACUAAGUGUCGGGUAAAACUGGGUACUGAAGUUAACACAUUAAGUACUCCGCCUGAGUAGUACGUACGCAGUAUGAAACUUAAAGGAAUUGACGGGACUCCGCACAAGCGGUGGAUCAUGUUGUUUAUUCGAAGA
This 896-nucleotide ribosomal RNA is filed under the name Poinsettia branch-inducing phytoplasma. RNAcentral's name for it is "bacterial SSU rRNA". It matches the Rfam family "Bacterial small subunit ribosomal RNA", at positions 54 to 957 of the family's 1533-position model. The record is from RNAcentral. Lineage: Bacteria; Bacillati; Mycoplasmatota; Mollicutes; Acholeplasmatales; Acholeplasmataceae.